UAUCUCAUGGUUGAUCUCCUGAGCUCUGGCGACGACGGCACUGCGCACGGUUGCUGCGUACGGACCCACCCUCUCCAGGACGGGGUCCACGUAACCCGCCAGGGCAGAUUGCAAUGCUUUGCCAAGCUCUUCUAUGUUAUGCCUUCUAUGUCUCUGCAGGUCAAACAGGGCAGUGAUAGCCUUCUCCGCAACCUGGUAUGGCACCCCGAAAACCAGAUCAAAAGCUUCCACGACCUCAUCAGAAAUAACAUCUCCUCUUUUCUACAUGGGAAGAGAGCAGCGCAGAGCGGAAACGAGUCUAAUUUGCUUACGAAAUCUCCCGGCCCUCCUCUGUUCUGUCAACGAUGGUGGAACACAAGGCAGCUGCUAGCCUGA
Molecule: long non-coding RNA, 375 nt
Filed under: Podarcis muralis (Common wall lizard)
Lineage: Eukaryota; Metazoa; Chordata; Lepidosauria; Squamata; Lacertidae
Description: lncRNA (ENSPMRG00000010004.1)
Source: RNAcentral